Molecule: ribosomal RNA, 839 nt
Filed under: uncultured Eikenella sp.
Lineage: Bacteria; Pseudomonadati; Pseudomonadota; Betaproteobacteria; Neisseriales; Neisseriaceae
Description: bacterial SSU rRNA
Rfam family: Bacterial small subunit ribosomal RNA
Source: RNAcentral
AUUGAACGCUGGCGGCAUGCUUUACACAUGCAAGUCGAACGGCAGCGGGGUAGUGCUUGCACUACUGCCGGCGAGUGGCGAACGGGUGAGUAAUAUAUCGGAACGUACCGAGUAAUGGGGGAUAACCAAUCGAAAGAUUGGCUAAUACCGCAUACGUCCUGAGGGAGAAAGCGGGGGAUCGCAAGACCUCGCGUUAUUCGAGCGGCCGAUAACUGAUUAGCUAGUUGGUGGGGUAAAGGCCUACCAAGGCGACGAUCAGUAGCGGGUCUGAGAGGACGAUCCGCCACACUGGGACUGAGACACGGCCCAGACUCCUACGGGAGGCAGCAGUGGGGAAUUUUGGACAAUGGGGGCAACCCUGAUCCAGCCAUGCCGCGUGUAUGAAGAAGGCCUUCGGGUUGUAAAGUACUUUUGUUAGGGAAGAAAAGGGAAGUGCUAAUACCACUUUUUGCUGACGGUACCUAAAGAAUAAGCACCGGCUAACUACGUGCCAGCAGCCGCGGUAAUACGUAGGGUGCGAGCGUUAAUCGGAAUUACUGGGCGUAAAGCGAGCGCAGACGGUUAUUUAAGCAGGAUGUGAAAUCCCCGGGCUUAACCUGGGAACUGCGUUCUGAACUGGAUGGCUAGAGUGUGUCAGAGGGGGGUAGAAUUCCACGUGUAGCAGUGAAAUGCGUAGAGAUGUGGAGGAAUACCGAUGGCGAAGGCAGCCCCCUGGGAUAACACUGACGUUCAUGCUCGAAAGCGUGGGUAGCAAACAGGAUUAGAUACCCUGGUAGUCCACGCCCUAAACGAUGUCGAUUAGCUGUUGGGCAACUUGAUUGCUUAGUAGCGUAGCUAAC